RNAcentral lists this ribosomal RNA (782 nucleotides) under uncultured Neocallimastigales. RNAcentral's name for it is "partial large subunit ribosomal RNA". It matches the Rfam family "Eukaryotic large subunit ribosomal RNA", at positions 26 to 644 of the family's 3401-position model. The record is from RNAcentral. Lineage: Eukaryota; Fungi; Neocallimastigomycota; Neocallimastigomycetes; Neocallimastigales.
CGUCUAUAUACGUAUAGCAUAUCAAUAAGCGGAGGAAAAGAAACUAACUAGGAUUCCCUUAGUAACGGCGAGUGAAGCGGGAAGAGCUCAAAUUUGAAAUCUUCAAGGUUUUACCCUGACGAAUUGUAGUUUAAAGAAGUGUUUUCUGUUAGAUUUGAGUAGCAAAGUUCUUUGGAAAUGGGACAUCAUAGAGGGUGAGAAUCCCGUAUUUGGUACCAUUAUCUCCAGCUUUGUGAUACACUUUCAAAGAGUCGGAUUGUUUGGGAAUGCAGUCCAAAAUGGGUGGUAAAUUUCAUCUAAAGCUAAAUAUUGGCGAGAGACCGAUAGCGAACAAGUACCGUGAGGGAAAGAUGAAAAGAACUUUGAAAAGAGAGUUAAACAGUACGUGAAAUUGUCAAAAGGGAAGCGUUUGACACCAGUGUUGUUUUUCCAAAAUCAAUUAGCGAAUGGUUUGAUUUUAGGAGUUAUGACUUCAUCAGCUUGCUUACUUUCUUUACGAAGUCUUUCUUAAUGCACUUUUCGGUUAACAAGUCAACAUCAAUUUCUUUUGUUGUAAAAGAGUAUUAGGAAGGUGGCUUUCUUUUCGGAGAAAGUGUUUAUAGCCUUAUACCUCUACAAUCGGAGAGAUUGAGGUCUGCAGCGUAGAUCCUUCGGGGUUAGAUACAUUUGUGCUAAGUUGUAGCUUUUCAUAGACAACUUGUUGACUAUGUUUAGUCAUUGUAGGCUUACUCGCUUACUGCUAUUUUACCUACGCUUAGGAUGUUGACUGAUAUGUAGUCGUA